AAACCAGUGGUUCCCAACCUUGUUUUGACCAGAGAACACAUGACCAGGGCCCACUUGACUAGGGCCCACUUGGCCAGGGCCUACUUUGAUGAGGAACCACAUGAUCGUGGUCUCGAUAACAACUAGGGCCUACUUUGAUGAGGAACCACUUGACUAGGGCUUACUUUGAUGAGGAACCACUUGACUAGGGCCUACUUUGAUGAGGAACCACUUGACUAGGGCCUACUUUGAUGAGGAACCACUUGACUAGGGCUUACUUUGAUGAGGAACCACUUGACUAGGGCCUACUUUGAUGAGGAACCACUUGACUAGGGCCUACUUUGAUGAAGAACCACUUGACCAGGGCCUACUUUGAUGAGGAACCACUUAACCAGGGCCUACUUUGAUAAGGAACCACUUGACUAGGUCCUACUUUGAUGAGGAACCACUUGACUAGGUCCUACUUUGAUGAAGAGCCACUUGACUAGGGCCUACUUUGAUGAAGAACCACUUGACUAGGGCCUACUUUGAUGAGGAACCACUUGACUAGGUCCUACUUUGAUGAGGAACCACUUGACUAGGGCCUACUUUGAUGAAGAACCACUUGACCAGGGCCUACUUUGAUGAGGAACCACUUGACUAGGGCUUACUUUGAUGAGUAACGACUUGACUAGGGCUUACUUUGAUGAGGAACCACUUGACUAGGGCUUACUUUGAUGAGUAACGACUUGACUAGGGCUUACUUUGAUGAGGAACCACUUGACCAGGGCCUACUUUGACCAGGGACCACUUGACCAGGGAACACUCUCCAACAUUAGUACCAAAAGGGUUACGAAUCCAUUGUUGGUCAACGUUAGAUUCGGUUUGGUUAUUUGGGAUGCCGAUUCAGAAAACCACAUUGGAGAGACCACAUCAGCAAUAAUUUCUGAUACAGGACAUAUGCCAUCCAGUAGUUGCCAGUUGCUCGCCUGCAGAAAACCAUCUAUAUAAAUAAAAAAUGUUGCUACGAAAUUUGGACACAACGUACCAUUCAAACGGAUGAGUGUUUUAAGGCAUUCGCAUGCCUAUUAUCAUAAACCUGUCACAGCAGAGACAGGUAAAACUAGGCGAAUCAGUGUCGUCAGCAACCGGUUCCUCCCAUUAGCAACACAAUGUACCAUUCAAACUGAUGAGUGUUUUAAGGCAUUUGCAUGCCUACUAUUAUAAACCUGUCACAGCUGAGACAGGUAAAACCAUGCCCCUUAGCAACGGCCAAUCAGAUGGUUCUUCCUGUUAGCAAAGGCAUUAGCAAUGGCCAAGAGUCUCCUCCCUUUAGUAACUGGUGUGGGCGGGGCUGCAAGGGAUGGCUAGUUGUUCUCGUUGCAAUGGUGUAGUAACGACCAUAUUUUAGUUCUUGCGGACCACUCGUUGGGAACCACUGGUGUAGAUGACUGUUGUUGCUCCAUCCUUGAAAGCUUCCUAAGAAUUCCACGGCUCAGAACUAUUGGCCUUUGUCCUGAGGUCCCAACACAUCUCGGAAUCGGAAGCUUCAGAACAGAACAAACCCGGACUCGAGGCCAUGACACCUGCAGUUUCCAGGUACAAGGAUACUUUGAUAGGCCUCACCAGCAGACCUGGAGCCACGUUGUCACCUGAGUCCCACUUGUAACUAGGAAAAUGCAGGUGACGUGUAUUGUUUCUAAGUAAAAAUGCUGUCCACCCUCCUGGAUUUUUUCCUCUUCUUCCUCUUACGCCUCGCCGCGACGCAAAAUCUGAGCAAGAUCCAAGAUCCAUAUAAACAGGAAUGCGUUGAAAGACAGAUUCAUUGUCACCAGAAGGCAGUUUGUCAACAAGAUGAGCUCACGUUGGAUUUCUACUGCCGUUGCUUACCGGGAUACAGAGGAGACGGGAUACGCAUCUGCCAAGACCCUGUAUUUCGUGUCACCGUGUCCAACGCAUCUGCCUGCGAUGACGUGGGAGUUCAAGUGUGUCAUCUCAUGGUAACGGAACCAAACGUCACCUUCAAUGUCUCGGUCUCCACCUCCGGCAACGUCCCACCGUACAUCGUGCAGUGGUACAAAUUCUACUCUGGACAAAGCCCGCAAUUCAACAGUUAUCGAAGAAGGCUGGGCGACACUCUGAGGGUGGUUAUGGGCCACCACGGCCUGGCGCUGACCCUGCUUUCCAUCAAGGAGGACGAUUUUUACCCAAACCUUUUCUGGGCGGAAGUGAGGCUGCACCCAUCGCCGGACAAACCAGCCAAGGCGGAGGUGUACGAUCUGACGGUCUUUGAGAUGUUGAAUCCGUCUAGCUUGAGAUACUACUUUGUGCUGGACAGCAGACCUAUAGAGCUGGGCGAGUUCUUGGAAGGGGAUGCUGUCGCCAUUUACUUGCCCCAGUACCUCCAGCUUUCUCCUUCCAGCUUUGUCCAGUGGACCAAGGAGCCGCGGCCAAUGGCAGUGCUGGGCAGCUCUCCGGUGGUCCUGGUUGACGCCACGGAAGGGAUCGAGAUCGGAAGCUUAAAGGAACAAGAUUUUGGCUACAUCCGAGCACUGGUUUACGAUUUCAGCCCCGACCUUCCCGGACGUGUGUUGGUAGCUCAGAGGCUCUUCCUCGUGAAGAAAGAUAUCAGCAAAACGUGUGUUGGGAAUCGCAACGCGGCCAACUGUUACUGCAAGCCCGGAUUUGAGGGAAACGGUGUACACUGUGUCGACGUGGAUGAGUGUGCGGACGGGACGAGCUGCCUUCCAGAGGCAGAGUGUGUCAACAUCUACGGGUCUUAUUUGUGCCGCUGCCCGGAAGGUUUCGAAGGAGACGGUCGGGUCACCUGCAUAGACGUGGAUGAAUGCAUAAAGGGAAGCCAUUCCUGCAACCGCGACGCAGUGUGCUUGAACACUUUGGGCUCUUACGACUGCAUGUGCCAAAGCGGGUUCGUUGGCGACGGCAUCCACUGCAGAGCCAAAAGCACCUGGACCCCUUGGUCUCCGUGGUCCGUCUGUUCCGCCACCUGCGGCUUCCAGAACCGGAUCCGGAUCCGCCGGUGCACUCACCCGGAGAGCGGCAUGCGCUGUGUGGGUCCUUCUGCCGACCUCAAGCCGUGCCUUGACCUCCCGUCUUGUCCCGUGGAUGGCCACUGGUCAGAAUGGUCACCCUGGUCGAUGUGUACGGAGACGUGUGCAGGGGUCAAGGAACGGAUCCGGACCUGUGACAGCCCUGGACCUUCCGGAGGAGGGAAGCCGUGCCAAGGAGAGAAGGUCCAGUUCGCCAUGUGUGAGAGCAAACCGUGUCCAGUGGACGGAGGGUGGUCUGCUUGGACCUCGUGGACUCCUUGCCCCGUCUCCUGCGGACUCGCCAUUGUGAGCCGAACCCGGCAAUGCAACGUUCCGGCCCCAAAACACGGAGGGAAGACCUGCAGUGGCCACGGAUAUGAGGAAGGCUCCUGCGGAUUUCCAGCGGCUUUCUGUCAAUACCUGACAAAACCCUAUGAAUCGACGAUAUCAAGGAAACCGGUUGACUGAGUAACUGGCAAGAAGGACGUUGACGACAAGACCGAGUUUCCUUGAUGGUUUCUGCAAUUGUGAUGGAAAUGGGUCCCAGAACCGAACCUAGUUCCCUGUGGUUGGGGUACGACCAGAGACAUAGAUGGGUACCCAGAAACCAUUUCUGGGAAGACUUCAAGGGACAUAGCAAAAGCUACCUUCAGAAGAAAAUUGUGCAAACUUCACAGAAUUGUCUUCUCUGGAACGAGAGAACCGGAUAAUGUGAGGAAUGUUCAUAGAUUGUGGAGCGAUUUCGACACAAACGGGUCGUGUUUGGGAUUCCUGUGGAUGGAAACUAACUACAGAUAAACAACGAAUGGCCCCAGAUUUGGCCCGGUGUUGGGGCCGUGCUGUUGCGGCUGGCCGACUAACUGGUUCACCGAUGGCAGUUUGUUGACCCCUCCUGCGUGGAGCUUGUUCAUCGGGGACAGGACCGGACCGUACGAAGACGGAGGCUGCAGGUGAGUCCUGUGUGUUAUAUGAGAAGUUUGAAACAUUCAUUUUCAAUAGGAUGCAUUUGUUACAAUUAGAGUUAGCAGAUGAAUUGCACUAUUGCGCAUGCUUGCGUUCUCAAGGAGGAAGUAGAGACAUCCACAAAUAUGGAUGCUGCACAACAUUCCCAACACCAAAUAUGUCUGGAUGCAUAAUAUGUUCCAGCGUGAAAGAUAUCCCAGUGCAUAAUGUGUUCCAAUGUGCAAUAAUAAUACAUUUUAUUAUUGCACAUUGGGAUGUGUUCCUAGGUGAAAUAUGCUCAUGUAUAUAAUGUGUUCCAAUAUGUAAUAUGUUCCAAUGUGAAAUAUAUCCCAGUACAUAAUGUGUUCCAAUGUGCAAUAAUAAUAAUACACUUUAUCAUUGCACAUUGGGAUGUAUUCCUAGGUGAAACAUGCUCAUGUAUAUAAUGUGCUCCAAUAUGUAAUAUGCUCCAUUGUGUAAUAUAUCCCAGUACAUAAUGUGUUCCAAUGUGCAACAAUAAUAAUAAUACACUUUAUUAUUGCACUUUGGGAUAUGUUCCUAGGUGCAAUAAACAUGUAUAUAAUGUGUUCCAAUAUGCAAUAUGCUCCAAUGUGCAAUGUAUUUCCAAUGUGAAAUAAUACUACACUUUAUUAUUUCACACUGGGAAUGUGUUCCUAUGUGCAAUAUGCUCCUCUGCAAUGAGUUCCUUGAUUUGGUAUAUAAUGUGUUCCAAUAUGUAAUAUGCUCCAAUGCGAAAUAUAUCCCAGUACAUAAUGUGUUCCAAUGUGAAAUAAUAAUACACUUUAUUAUUUCACAUUGGGAUGUUUUCCUAUGCUCAUGUGCAAUGUGUUCUUAGUUUAAUAUGCUCAUGUGAAAUGUGUUCCUAUGUGCAAUAUGCUCAUGUGCAGUGUGUUCCUAAGUGAAAUAUGCUCAUGUGAAAUGUGUUCCUAGGUGCAAUAUGUGUUCCAGCAUGAAAUAUGCUCCAAUGUGCAAUGUCUCCCAGUGCAUGAUAUGUUCCAAUGUGCAAUGUUUUCCAAUGUUUUCUGAUGUGAAAUAUACCCCAAUAUCUAAUGUGCUCCAAAGUGUAAUAUGUCAAAAUGAAUCGUGUGUCGGUGUACUUUGUGUCCCCAUGUACAAUAUAGCCUAAUGCACACAUUCCAAUGUGCAAUAUGUCCCAAUGCACAACAACUUCUAAUGUCCAA
Molecule: RNA transcript, 5152 nt
Organism: Anolis carolinensis (green anole)
Lineage: Eukaryota; Metazoa; Chordata; Lepidosauria; Squamata; Anolidae
Exons: 14
Source: RefSeq, a predicted model, not a curated record